This 491-nucleotide ribosomal RNA is filed under the name uncultured bacterium. RNAcentral's name for it is "partial 16S ribosomal RNA". It matches the Rfam family "Bacterial small subunit ribosomal RNA", at positions 29 to 507 of the family's 1533-position model. The record is from RNAcentral.
AGUGAACGCUGGCGGUAGGCCUAACACAUGCAAGUCGAACGGCAGCACAGUAAGAGCUUGCUCUUACGGUUGGCGAGUGGCGGACGGGUGAGGAAUACAUCGGAAUCUACUUUUUCGGGGGGGAUAACGUAGGGAAACUUACGCUAAUACCGCAUACGACCUACGGGUGAAAGCAGGGGAUCUUCGGACCUUUCGCGAUUGAAUGAGCCGAUGCCGGAUUAGCUAGUUGGCGGGGUAAAGCCCACCAAGGCGACGAUCCGUAGCUGGUCUGAGAGGAUGAUCAGCCACACUGGAACUGAGACACGGUCCAGACUCCUACGGGAGGCAGCAGUGGGGAAUAUUGGACAAUGGGCGCAAGCCUGAUCCAGCCAUACCGCGUGAGUGAAGAAGGCCUUCGGGUUGUAAAGCCCUUUUGUUGGGAAAGAAAAGCAGCAGGUUAAUACCCGGAUGUUCUGACGGUACCCAAAGAAUAAGCACCGGCUAACUUCGUG